UACGUAGGGGGCAAGCGUUGUCCGGAUUUAUUGGGCGUAAAGAGCGUGUAGGCGGUCAGGUAGGUCCGUUGUGAAAACUCGAGGCUCAACCUCGAGACGCCGAUGGAAACCAUCUGACUAGAGUCCGGAAGAGGAGAGUGGAAUUCCUGGUGUAGCGGUGAAAUGCGCAGAUAUCAGGAAGAACACCCGUGGCUAAGGCGGCUCUCUAGUACGGUACUGACGCUCAUGCACGAAAGCGUGGGGAGCAAACAGG
This 253-nucleotide ribosomal RNA is filed under the name uncultured bacterium. RNAcentral's name for it is "partial 16S ribosomal RNA". It matches the Rfam family "Bacterial small subunit ribosomal RNA", at positions 524 to 776 of the family's 1533-position model. The record is from RNAcentral.